Molecule: ribosomal RNA, 473 nt
Filed under: uncultured bacterium
Lineage: Bacteria
Description: partial 16S ribosomal RNA
Rfam family: Bacterial small subunit ribosomal RNA
Source: RNAcentral
AGUGAACGCUGGCGGCGUGCCUAAUACAUGCAAGUCGAACGCGAAAGUCCUUCGGGAUGAGUAAAGUGGCGCACGGGUGAGUAAUACAUGGGAACAUGCCCUUGGAUGGGGAAUAACGUUUGGAAACGAACGCUAAUACCGCAUAAUCUCGCGAGAGUAAAGGUGGCGCCGCAAGGGCUACCGUCCAAGGAUUGGCCCAUGUCCCAUUAGCUAGUUGGCGGGGUAAUGGCCCACCAAGGCAACGAUGGGUAACUGGUCUGAGAGGAUGAUCAGUCACACUGGAACUGAGACACGGUCCAGACUCCUACGGGAGGCAGCAGUAGGGAAUAUUGCACAAUGGGGGAAACCCUGAUGCAGCAACGCCGCGUGAGUGAAGAAGGCCCUUGGGUUGUAAAGCUCUUUAGCGUGGGAAGAAGGUAGAUAUGGUGAACAAUCAUGUUUGCUGACGGUACCACGAGAAUAGGCACCGGCUA